GGGGAUGUAGCUUAAUGGAAAAGUUCAUACUUUGCAAGUAUGCAGAUAUCGGUUCGAAUCCGGUUGUCUCCA
Molecule: transfer RNA, 72 nt
Filed under: Plasmodiophora brassicae
Lineage: Eukaryota; Endomyxa; Phytomyxea; Plasmodiophorida; Plasmodiophoridae
Rfam family: tRNA
About the family: Transfer RNA (tRNA) molecules are approximately 80 nucleotides in length. Their secondary structure includes four short double-helical elements and three loops (D, anti-codon, and T loops).
Source: RNAcentral